CCAAUAGCGUAUAUUAAAGUUGUUGCAGUUAAAAAGCUCGUAGUUGAAUUUCGGGAUUGACACAUCGGUCGUGCCUUAAGGGGUAUGAACUGGUGUAGUCAAUUUCUCACCUUCUGGAGAACCGCGAUGCCCUUAAUUGGGUGUCGCGGGGAACCAGGACCUUUACUAUGAAAAAAUUAGAGUGUUUAAAGCAGGCAUUUUGCUUGAAUACAUUAGCAUGGAAUAAUAAAAUAGGACGGUAUGAUUCUAUUUUGUUGGUUUCUAGGAUCACCGUAAUUAUUAAUAGGGAUAGUUGGUGGCAUUAGUAUUCAAUUGUCAGAGGUGAAAUUCUUGGAUUUAUUGAAGACUAACUACUGCGAAAGCAUUUGCCAAGGAUGUUUUCAUUAAUCAAGAACGAAAGGUAGGGGAUCGAAGACGAUCAGAUACCGUCGUAGUCUUAACCAUAAACUAUGCCGACUAGGAAUCAGACGAUGUUAAUUUUUUAAUGACUCGUUUGGCACCUUACG
This 506-nucleotide unclassified non-coding RNA is filed under the name uncultured Entrophospora. RNAcentral describes it as "SSU rRNA". It matches the Rfam family "Eukaryotic small subunit ribosomal RNA", at positions 591 to 1092 of the family's 1831-position model. The record is from RNAcentral. Lineage: Eukaryota; Fungi; Glomeromycota; Glomeromycetes; Entrophosporales; Entrophosporaceae.